ACGCGUGCUACAAUGUUAGGAUCAAUAGGACUGCGAGCCUGAGAGGGUGCGCUACUCUUAUAAUCCCUAACGUAGUUGGGAUUGACGUUUGUAAUCAGCGUCAUGAACCAGGAAUCCCUUGUAAAUGUGUGUCAACAACGCACGUUGAAUACGUCCCUGCCCUUUGUACACACCGCCCGUCGCUCCUACCGAUUGGAUGACUCGGUGAAAUCACCGGAUGCUUACGAGCAGAAAGUGAUUAAAUCACGUUAUCUAGAGGAAGGAGAAGUCGUAACAAGGUAACGGUAGGUGAACCUGCCGUUGGAUCAGUU
Molecule: non-coding RNA, 311 nt
Filed under: Trichomonas vaginalis G3
Lineage: Eukaryota; Parabasalia; Trichomonadida; Trichomonadidae
Description: Eukaryotic small subunit ribosomal RNA
Rfam family: Eukaryotic small subunit ribosomal RNA
Source: Rfam by way of RNAcentral